RNAcentral lists this ribosomal RNA (1254 nucleotides) under Triticum aestivum (bread wheat). RNAcentral describes it as "partial small subunit ribosomal RNA". The record is from RNAcentral. Lineage: Eukaryota; Viridiplantae; Streptophyta; Magnoliopsida; Poales; Poaceae.
AUGGGAAAUUACCACCAUCUUCUUCUUCGACGGUGGAUGCUAGUCAUGGUGGUGGCAGUAGCACUCCAUGCGCAUGGUGGUCUACUGGCAGUGCAGGCGGCGGCGCAGAAGCAGCUGGUGCCGUGCAUGUACAUCUUCGGCGACUCGCUGGUGGACAACGGCAACAACAACAACAUCCUCAGCCUCGCCAGGGCCAACUACCGCCCCUACGGCGUCGACUUCCCCGACGGCGCCGCGCCGCCCGGCCGCUUCACCAACGGCCGCACCAUGGUCGACCUGCUCGCCGGCCUCCUCGGCUUCCAGCCGCCCUUCAUCCCGGCCUACGCCAUGGCGCAGCCCUCCGACUACGCGCGCGGCCUCAACUUCGCCUCGGGCGCCGCCGGCGUCAGGCCGGAGACCGGGAACAACCUCGGCGGCCACUACCCUCUGUCGGAGCAGGUGAGCCACUUCCGGUCGGUGGUGGGCCAGAUACCGCCGGCGGGGAGGGAGAAGCGGCUCGGCCGGUGCAUCUACUACGUGGGCAUGGGCAGCAACGACUACCUCAACAACUACUUCAUGCCCGACUACUACAACACCGCGCAGGCCUACGACCCCGCCGCCUACGCCGCCGCCCUCCUCCAGGAGUACGAACUUCAGCUCACCGCCCUCUACGCCCUCGGCGCCAGGAAGUUCGUCGUCGCCGGCGUCGGCCAGAUCGGCUGCAUCCCCUACGAGCUGGCCAGGAUCGACGACGACGGCGACGACGACCAAGGACGAGGACGCCCCCCUCCCACUUCCGGCAUCGGCCUCUCGAUCCCUGGCAUCACCGUCAGCAUCGGCGGCAGCGGCGGCAACCGGAGCACAGCUAACGGCGGCGCGAAAAAGAGCGGGUGCAACGACAAGAUCAACAGCGCCAUCGCCAUCUACAACAAGGGGCUGCUGGCCAUGGUGAAACGCCUCAACCGCGGGCAGCAGACGCCAGGGGCAAACCUCGUCUUCCUCAACGCCGUCAACAGCGGCAAGGACCUGGCGGCCAACGCGGCGGCGUACGGGUUCACGGUGCUCGACCGCGGCUGCUGCGGCGUGGGGAGGAACAACGGCCAGAUCACGUGCCUGCCCAUGCAGCGGCCCUGCGACGACCGCACCAAGUACAUCUUCUGGGACGCCUUCCACCCCACGGAGGCGGCCAAUAGGAUCAUAGCCAACAAGGUCUUCAGCUCAUCCUCCACCUCCGACGCCUACCCCAUCAACGUCAGCCGCCUCGCCGCCAUAUGA